RNAcentral lists this ribosomal RNA (258 nucleotides) under uncultured bacterium. RNAcentral's name for it is "partial 16S ribosomal RNA". It matches the Rfam family "Bacterial small subunit ribosomal RNA", at positions 15 to 266 of the family's 1533-position model. The record is from RNAcentral.
GAUCCUGGCUCAGGACGAACGCUGGCGGCGUGCCUAACACAUGCAAGUCGAGCGGAGACAGUGAGUAGCUUGCUAUGAACUGUUUUAGCGGCGGACGGGUGAGUAACGCGUGAGCAACCUUUCCCAGACAGGGGAAUAACACACCGAAAGGUGUACUAAUACCGCAUAAGACCACGGUUUCACAUGGAACUGAGGUAAAAGAUUUAUCGGUUUGGGGUGGGCUAGCGUCCGAUUAGGUAGUUGGUGAGGUAACGGCCC